CCUACGGGCGGCAGCAGUGAGGAAUAUUGGUCAAUGGGCGUAAGCCUGAACCAGCCAAGUCGCGUGAGGGAUGAAGGUUCUAUGGGUCGUAAACCUCUUUUAUAAGGGAAUAAAGUGCGGGUCGUUUCCCGUUUUGUCUGUACCUUAUGAAUAAGGAUCGGCUAACUCUGUGCCAGCAGCCGCGGUAAUACAGGGGAUCCGAGCGUUAUCCGGAGUGAUGGGGUUUAAGGGGUGCGUAGGUGGGCUGUUAAGUCAGCGGGGAAAGGCUGUGGCUCAAACAUAGCAUGGCAUUUGAAACUGGGAGGAUGGAGUACGGUGGAGGCAGGAGGAAUGCGGGGUGUAGAGGUGAAAUGCGUAGAUAUCAGGAAGAACACCGAUUGCGAAGGCAGCCUGACAAGCUACGACUGACGCUGAUGCACGAAAGCGUGGGGAUCAAACAGGAUUAGAUACCCUUGUAGUC
Molecule: ribosomal RNA, 460 nt
Filed under: uncultured bacterium
Lineage: Bacteria
Description: partial 16S ribosomal RNA
Rfam family: Bacterial small subunit ribosomal RNA
Source: RNAcentral